This 375-nucleotide ribosomal RNA is filed under the name uncultured bacterium. RNAcentral describes it as "bacterial SSU rRNA". It matches the Rfam family "Bacterial small subunit ribosomal RNA", at positions 521 to 895 of the family's 1533-position model. The record is from RNAcentral.
UAAUACAGAGGGUGCAAGCGUUAAUCGGAGUUACUGGGCGUAAAGGGCGCGUAGGCGGUUUAGUAAGUGAGAUGUGAAAGCCCUGGGCUUAACCUAGGAACUGCAUCUUAUACUGUUAGACUAGAGUACUGUAGAGGGUAGUGGAAUUUCCGGUGUAGCGGUGAAAUGCGUAGAGAUCGGAAGGAACACCAGUGGCGAAGGCGGCUACCUGGACAGAUACUGACGCUGAGGCGCGAGAGCGUGGGGAGCAAACAGGAUUAGAUACCCUGGUAGUCCACGCUGUAAACGAUGAGAACUAGAUGUUGGUAGGCAUGACCUAUUAGUAUCGAAGCUAACGCGAUAAGUUCUCCGCCUGGGGAGUACGACCGCAAGGUU